Molecule: non-coding RNA, 97 nt
Organism: Mycena metata
Lineage: Eukaryota; Fungi; Basidiomycota; Agaricomycetes; Agaricales; Mycenaceae
Source: the annotation of a GenBank genome assembly
GCCUUUGUGGAUCGUGGUGAUCAUCCAUGCCUUAUUAUCAGGUUCCACGAAAGUUAAAUGCAAAUGGACAGCGGGGGUUCGACUCCCUCCGGAGGCA